AACGUAGGUGGCGAGCGUUAUCCGGAUUUACUGGGCGUAAAGCGUGUGCAGGUGGCCUGUUAAGUGGUGUAUGAAAUCGCCCGGCUCAACCGGGCGGGGUUAUGCCAGACUGGCAGGCUAGAGGGUGGGAGAGGGAUGUGGAAUUCCAGGUGUAGCGGUGAAAUGCGUAGAUAUCUGGAGGAACACCGGUGGCGAAGGCGACAUCCUGGACCGGUAUUGACGCUGAGGAGCGAAAGCGUGGGGAGCGAACAGG
This 253-nucleotide ribosomal RNA is filed under the name uncultured bacterium. RNAcentral's name for it is "partial 16S ribosomal RNA". It matches the Rfam family "Bacterial small subunit ribosomal RNA", at positions 524 to 776 of the family's 1533-position model. The record is from RNAcentral.